AAAGAUUUAUCGCCUUUAGAUGAGUCCAAGUCGCAUCAGGUUGUUGGUAGGGUAAUGGCCUACCAAGCCUAUGACGCGUAGCAGGUCUUAGCGGAUGAUCUGCCACAUGGGGACUGAGAUACGGCCCUGACUCCUACGGGAGGCAGCAGUGAGGAAUAUUGGGCAAUGGACGAAAGUCUGACCCAGCGAUGCCGCGUGAAGGAUGAAGGCCUUAGGGUUGUAAACUUCUGUCAGCAGGGAAGAUAAUGACGGUACCUGCAGAGGAAGCCCCGGCUAACUCCGUGCCAGCAGCCGCGGUAAUACGGAGGGGUCUAGCGUUAUUCGGAAUUACUGGGCGUAAAGCGAGCGUAGGCGGAUUUGUAAGUUGGAGGUGAAAUCCCAGAGCUUAACUCUGGAACUGCCUUCAAAACUACAUUUCUUGAGUUUGGUAGAGGAGAGUGGAAUUUCUAGUGUAGAGGUGAAAUUCGUAGAUAUUAGAAAGAAUACCAAUUGCGAAGGCAGCUUUCUGGAUCAUUACUGACACUGAGGAACGAAAGCAUGGGUAGCGAAGAGGAUUAGAUACCCUCGUAGUCCAUGCCGUAAACGAUGUGUGUUAGACGUUGGAAAUUUAUUUUCAGUGUCGCAGCGAAAGCAUUAAACACACCGCCUGGGGAGUACGACCGCAAGGUUAAAACUCAAAUGAAUUGACGGGGACCCGCACAAGUAGUGGAGCAUGUGGUUUAAUUCGAAGAUACGCGCAGAACCUUACCAACACUUGACAUGUUCGUCGCGACUUUAAGAGAUUAAAGUUUUCGGUUCGGCCGGACGAAACACAGGUGCUGCAUGGCUGUCGUCAGCUCGUGUCGUGAGAUGUUGGGUUAAGUCCCGCAACGAGCGCAACCCUCACUUUUAGUUGCCAUCAUUAAGUUGGGCACUCUGAAAGAACUGCCAGUGAUAAGCUGGAGGAAGGUGGGGAUGACGUCAAGUCCUCAUGGCCCUUACGUGUUGGGCUACACACGUGCUACAAUGGCAUUUACAAUAGGAAGCAAGAUGGCGACAUCAAGCAAAUCCUAAAAAGAUGCCUCAGUUCGGAUUGCACUCUGCAACUCGAGUGCAUGAAGCUGGAAUUACUAGUAAUCGCGGAUCAGCGUGCCACGGUGAAUGCGUUCCCGGGUCUUGUACACACCGCCCGUCACACCAUGGGAGUUGGUUCUACCUUAAGGCAAGGUUUCAAACCCUUGACCACGGU
This 1228-nucleotide ribosomal RNA is filed under the name uncultured bacterium. RNAcentral's name for it is "partial 16S ribosomal RNA". It matches the Rfam family "Bacterial small subunit ribosomal RNA", at positions 202 to 1463 of the family's 1533-position model. The record is from RNAcentral.